CCAAGAGAAUCAUUGUCACUGAACUCCAGCUCCGGGAAAUGAGGAGUAGAGAUGUUAAACAGUGGUUUCCCGUUUUCCUGCCCCAUCAAAAAUUCCUGAGGAAUAUGUACCUGACCCAGUGAAGGACACGUGCCAGACCUCUGGGGUGUCCCAUCAUCCCCGAGAGACUUCUGAGGAGUCAGUCGGAGGAUGCUUUGUUGCUGCUGCUUUGUAACAACAUCGUUGAAACUGAAACCUAGUCAAGGAAGCACCCUGGCCCAGAAAACUGAGAGAAGCAACCAGGGAGAAGAGAAAAUGGAGACUUAGAGAAGCUGAACCCUGUUCCCCAGCCUCCACCAACUUCUUCAAACUGUGUGGCGCUCCGUUCUCUGCACUGCAUGCCCAUCACCAUCUUAAUCAGAUCUCCACGAAGCCUUCACAAGAUCAGGCCUGUUGUUGCUCCCUCCCAGAAGGGUCACUAGGCCUUCACCUGAACCUCCACCCACGCCCU
Mastomys coucha (southern multimammate mouse) is the source of this 490-nucleotide long non-coding RNA. RefSeq lists it as uncharacterized. The transcript has 3 exons. NCBI's taxonomy places the organism in Eukaryota, Metazoa, Chordata, Mammalia, Rodentia, Muridae. The record is from RefSeq and is a predicted model, not a curated record.